AAUGGUCUUCCUCUACAGCAGUAUCCUCAUAUGUAUGUGGGAAAAAAUUAAAAAUAUAUGUAUUUUAAAUUAAAUAUAUUUUAACACAUUCCAAUGAGGAUACUGCUGUAGAAGAAGACCAUU
Molecule: non-coding RNA, 123 nt
Organism: Pelobates cultripes (western spadefoot toad)
Lineage: Eukaryota; Metazoa; Chordata; Amphibia; Anura; Pelobatidae
Source: the annotation of a GenBank genome assembly